RNAcentral lists this ribosomal RNA (508 nucleotides) under uncultured beta proteobacterium. RNAcentral describes it as "bacterial SSU rRNA". It matches the Rfam family "Bacterial small subunit ribosomal RNA", at positions 9 to 511 of the family's 1533-position model. The record is from RNAcentral. Lineage: Bacteria; Pseudomonadati; Pseudomonadota; Betaproteobacteria.
GAGUUUGAUCAUGGCUCAGAUUGAACGCUGGCGGAAUGCUUUACACAUGCAAGUCGAACGGCAGCACGGGGGCAACCCUGGUGGCGAGUGGCGAACGGGUGAGUAAUACAUCGGGACGUGCCCAGUCGUGGGGGAUAACGUAGCGAAAGCUACGCUAAUACCGCAUACGAACUGAGGUUGAAAGCGGGGGAUCGCAAGACCUCGCGCGAUUGGAGCGGCCGAUGGCAGAUUAGGUAGUUGGUGGGGUAAAGGCCUACCAAGCCGACGAUCUGUAGCUGGUCUGAGAGGACGACCAGCCACACUGGGACUGAGACACGGCCCAGACUCCUACGGGAGGCAGCAGUGGGGAAUUUUGGACAAUGGGCGCAAGCCUGAUCCAGCCAUUCCGCGUGCAGGAUGAAGGCCCUCGGGUUGUAAACUGCUUUUGUACGGAACGAAAAGGCUUCCUCUAAUACAGGAGGCUGAUGACGGUACCGUAAGAAUAAGCACCGGCUAACUACGUAGCCAG